This 259-nucleotide long non-coding RNA is filed under the name Lathyrus oleraceus (garden pea). Its description in RNAcentral is "Pisum sativum (pea) long non-coding RNA (PSAT_LNC003492)". The record is from RNAcentral. Lineage: Eukaryota; Viridiplantae; Streptophyta; Magnoliopsida; Fabales; Fabaceae.
CUAUCCGGCGUAUACUGGAAUGGUUAAAAUGAUGGCUACGGUUAAUGUGACACUUUGGAUGUCCUGAUGUUCCUCAUGUUUACUUGAGGAGAAAUUUGGCGUCCGCGUGGUGUCAUUAAAGCAUUAACCAGACCUUUAGAACCCUAAUUGACUCAUCCUGGCCAUUAGAAAGUAGUGAGAUAACUGACUUCGGUUCCGACUGGGGUUGGUUGAGACUCGAUACUACACUCUGUGAGAUUGGACUUUAGGGAAGCUUUGG